Molecule: ribosomal RNA, 1346 nt
Filed under: uncultured bacterium
Lineage: Bacteria
Description: bacterial SSU rRNA
Rfam family: Bacterial small subunit ribosomal RNA
Source: RNAcentral
GACGAACGCUGGCGGCGUGCUUAACACAUGCAAGUCGAACGGAAAGGCCCUGCUUUUGUGGGGUGCUCGAGUGGCGAACGGGUGAGUAACACGUGAGUAACCUGCCCUUGACUUUGGGAUAACUUCAGGAAACUGGGGCUAAUACCGGAUAGGAGCUCCUGCUGCAUGGUGGGGGUUGGAAAGUUUCGGCGGUUGGGGAUGGACUCGCGGCUUAUCAGCUUGUUGGUGGGGUAGUGGCUUACCAAGGCUUUGACGGGUAGCCGGCCUGAGAGGGUGACCGGCCACAUUGGGACUGAGAUACGGCCCAGACUCCUACGGGAGGCAGCAGUGGGGAAUAUUGCACAAUGGGCGGAAGCCUGAUGCAGCAACGCCGCGUGCGGGAUGACGGCCUUCGGGUUGUAAACCGCUUUCGCCUGUGACGAAGCGUGAGUGACGGUAAUGGGUAAAGAAGCACCGGCUAACUACGUGCCAGCAGCCGCGGUGAUACGUAGGGUGCGAGCGUUGUCCGGAUUUAUUGGGCGUAAAGGGCUCGUAGGUGGUUGAUCGCGUCGGAAGUGUAAUCUUGGGGCUUAACCCUGAGCGUGCUUUCGAUACGGGUUGACUUGAGGAAGGUAGGGGAGAAUGGAAUUCCUGGUGGAGCGGUGGAAUGCGCAGAUAUCAGGAGGAACACCAGUGGCGAAGGCGGUUCUCUGGGCCUUUCCUGACGCUGAGGAGCGAAGGCGUGGGGAGCGAACAGGCUUAGAUACCCUGGUAGUCCACGCUGUAAACGGUGGGUACUAGGUGUGGGGUCCAUUCCACGGGUUCCGUGCCGUAGCUAACGCUUUAAGUACCCCGCCUGGGGAGUACGGCCGCAAGGCUAAAACUCAAAGGAAUUGACGGGGCCCCGCACAAGCGGCGGAGCAUGCGGAUUAAUUCGAUGCAACGCGUAGAACCUUACCUGGGUUUGACAUGGAUCGGGAGUGCUCAGAGAUGGGUGUGCCUCUUUUGGGGUCGGUUCACAGGUGGUGCAUGCCUGUCGUCAGCUCGUGUCGUGAGAUGUUGGGUUAAGUCCCGCAACGAGCGCAACCCUUGUUCACUGUUGCCAGCACGUUAUGGUGGGGACUCAGUGGAGACCGCCGGGGUCAACUCGGAGGAAGGUGGGGAUGACGUCAAGUCCUCAUGCCCCUUAUGUCCAGGGCUUCACGCAUGCUACAAUGGCUGGUACAGAGAGUGGCGAGCCUGUGAGGGUGAGCGAAUCUCGGAAAGCCGGUCUCAGUUCGGAUUGGGGUCUGCAACUCGACCUCAUGAAGUCGGAGUCGCUAGUAAUCGCAGAUCAGCAACGCUGCGGUGAAUACGUUCCCGGGGCC